GGCGCAAUGGUGAAGAGGAAACACGGGUGUCUGCAAAACACCUAUGCGCGGGUUCGAUUCCCGCUUGCGCCU
Molecule: transfer RNA, 72 nt
Filed under: Candidatus Melainabacteria bacterium
Lineage: Bacteria; Bacillati; Candidatus Melainabacteria
Description: tRNA-Cys
Rfam family: tRNA
About the family: Transfer RNA (tRNA) molecules are approximately 80 nucleotides in length. Their secondary structure includes four short double-helical elements and three loops (D, anti-codon, and T loops).
Source: RNAcentral